UUCGUGGUACGUCGGUAACGUGAAUUGGUGUGUGUCUAGCCACUGGACAGCACGAAGGUGCGUAAACGCAAUGCUGAGGAGGCCUACGAGGCGUCCAAGAACGGAAGGCGUUGGAAACGUCGCAUCAGACGAGAAGCCGAAGUCGGGCCAUCGCGUUCUCUCGGUGAAGACCUGCGGGCAAAACCAGUAACGCCAGGUUCUCUCUGUUCCCCAAAGAUGACAGGUGACCGAACCCAAGACCACCGCGUUACGCGCUCGAUGCACUACCAGUUGGGCUACAGCGGUGGCCAUCAAUACUUCCCCAUAAGUCAUGCGUGCUGGUGCUACGGGCCCCGAGGGAAGGAAGCCAUUCUACAAUUUUCAUCAGCGCAUUCCAAACUAGGUGCACAAAAUAGAUGGAUGCUGAAAUGCGAGGCAAGAGUACCAGAUUGAAGAACCCAAAAUGUGGACAUUCUGGGGCUCAAGCGGGCACACCGAGAGGGACACAAGGCGCACCCUCAGGAUCUCCAGUUUAAUCCGCUUUCCGUGACGCAGCGCCCAGCAGAAACUCCUGAUGAUUUUGAGAACGAAUUGCAGCGUAUCCAAGACCAUGGUAGGAGCACCAAUUGCCGUUAGAUUUAUGUCGGAAGUGUCGGCAUCAGGGGGACAGGCCACCAUGUGAUCUGCCGAUUCACAGCGGUUCCAAAGGGAAGCUUUCUAGGUCGAGUGAAUCUAAGGAACAUCUAUCUCUACUUUCUGACUGAGCGCUUUCUAAGUUUGCUUUUUGGC
Dermacentor albipictus is the source of this 768-nucleotide non-coding RNA. Lineage: Eukaryota; Metazoa; Arthropoda; Arachnida; Ixodida; Ixodidae. The record is from RefSeq and is a predicted model, not a curated record.